This 65-nucleotide transfer RNA is filed under the name Dipodomys ordii (Ord's kangaroo rat). It matches the Rfam family "tRNA". From Rfam's summary of the family: Transfer RNA (tRNA) molecules are approximately 80 nucleotides in length. Their secondary structure includes four short double-helical elements and three loops (D, anti-codon, and T loops). Further hydrogen bonds mediate the characteristic L-shaped molecular structure. tRNAs have two regions of fundamental functional importance: the anti-codon, which is responsible for specific mRNA codon recognition, and the 3' end, to which the tRNAs corresponding amino acid is attached (by aminoacyl-tRNA synthetases). tRNAs cope with the degeneracy of the genetic code in two manners: having more than one tRNA (with a specific anti-codon) for a particular amino acid; and 'wobble' base-pairing, i.e. permitting non-standard base-pairing at the 3rd anti-codon position. The record is from Rfam by way of RNAcentral. Lineage: Eukaryota; Metazoa; Chordata; Mammalia; Rodentia; Heteromyidae.
GGUGGCUCAGUGGUAGAGUGCUUUCCUUGCAUGCAAGAGGCCCUGGGUUCAAUUCCUCAGCACCA